Molecule: ribosomal RNA, 484 nt
Filed under: uncultured bacterium
Lineage: Bacteria
Description: partial 16S ribosomal RNA
Rfam family: Bacterial small subunit ribosomal RNA
Source: RNAcentral
AUUGAACGCUGGCGGCAGGCCUAACACAUGCAAGUCGAGCGGAUGAAGGGAGCUUGCUCCUGGAUUCAGCGGCGGACGGGUGAGUAAUGCCUAGGAAUCUGCCUGGUAGCGGGGGAUAACGUCCGGAAACGGGCGCUAAUACCGCAUACGUCCUGAGGGAGAAAGUGGGGGAUCUUCGGACCUCACGCUAUCAGAUGAGCCUAGGUCGGAUUAGCUAGUUGGUGGGGUAAAGGCCUACCAAGGCGACGAUCCGUAACUGGUCUGAGAGGAUGAUCAGUCACACUGGAACUGAGACACGGUCCAGACUCCUACGGGAGGCAGCAGUGGGGAAUAUUGGACAAUGGGCGAAAGCCUGAUCCAGCCAUGCCGCGUGUGUGAAGAAGGUCUUCGGAUUGUAAAGCACUUUAAGUUGGGAGGAAGAGCAGUAAGUUAAUACCUUGCUGUUUUGACGUUACCAACAGAAUAAGCACCGGCUAACUUCGUG